This 375-nucleotide ribosomal RNA is filed under the name uncultured organism. RNAcentral's name for it is "partial 16S ribosomal RNA". It matches the Rfam family "Bacterial small subunit ribosomal RNA", at positions 527 to 896 of the family's 1533-position model. The record is from RNAcentral.
AGAGGGUGCAAACGUUGCUCGGGAUUUACCGGGGCGUAAAGCGCGUGUAGGCGGACUCGCAAGUCGGUUGUGAAAUCCCUGGGGCUCAACCUAGGGAACUGCAUCCGAAACUGCUUGUCUUGAGUAAUGGAGAGGGUGGCGGAAUUCCCGGUGUAGAGGUGAAAUUCGUAGAUAUCGGGAGGAACAUCAGUGGCGAAGGCGGCCACCUGGACAUUUACUGACGCUGAGACGCGAAAGCGUGGGGAGCAAACAGGAUUAGAUACCCUGGAAGUCCACGCCGUAAACGAUGAGCACUAGGUGCAGCGGAUAUUGACCUCUGCUGUGCCGUAGCUAACGCGUUAAGUGCUCCGCCUGGGGAGUACGGCCGCAAGGCUA